Molecule: ribosomal RNA, 163 nt
Filed under: Muraltia alba
Lineage: Eukaryota; Viridiplantae; Streptophyta; Magnoliopsida; Fabales; Polygalaceae
Also listed under: 29 other names
Description: 5.8S ribosomal RNA
Rfam family: 5.8S ribosomal RNA
About the family: 5.8S ribosomal RNA (5.8S rRNA) is a component of the large subunit of the eukaryotic ribosome. It is transcribed by RNA polymerase I as part of the 45S precursor that also contains 18S and 28S rRNA.
Source: RNAcentral
GAACGACUCUCGGCAACGGAUAUCUCGGCUCUCGCAUCGAUGAAGAACGUAGCGAAAUGCGAUACUUGGUGUGAAUUGCAGAAUCCCGUGAACCAUCGAGUCUUUGAACGCAAGUUGCGCCCGACGCCUUCUGGCCGAGGGCAUGUCUGCCUGGGCGUCACGC